UUCGUCAGCUGGCACAAACCGACCAGAGGUUAGUUUAAAAGAAGUAUCUUUACUGUCUUCCUGAACGUUCUCAAAAUGUUAAAGAACCUGUUGAUCCUGGGCUUGAUGAUCACUCCAAUCUUCGGCCAAGGUUGCGCCGGGGGUACCGGUACCGGUCAAGGCAGUGGCACCAACGGCUUUGGCUCCGGUUUUGGAAGAGGAUUUGGUUCGGGCACCGGACCUGGUGGUACCUACAGCGGCGGAGGUGUCGGAAGCGGUCGAGGCGGUGGCAUCAACGGUGGAUCUGGCUCCGGCUCUGGCACCGGCUCUGGCUUUGCCUGUGGCGGUGGCAAGCGCUAAUGUCGCAAUCAAUGUUGAAAGUUUUCAGAGGAAAAGCACAACUGUCACUUAAUGUUGCCGAAAACACGUCUCUUUAGCAAGGAUGGAAGAGUACAGACAUCUUUAAGCUCUGCAUCGCCAUUAACUGAUCGUAGCAGAUUCAACGCCUAUAAAGAUUUUGUGGCUUGGACUCUAAAAAGAUCUCGUUUGAAAAGGAAGAUUUAUGGGAUGCGCCUUCUAUUGUUCUCAGUUUAACCAAAAUUAAAUCAGCUGUCACCAAGUUUUAUGCUUUCUUAAAUAAAUAUUUUACCGCUUA
Molecule: long non-coding RNA, 634 nt
Filed under: Lingula anatina
Lineage: Eukaryota; Metazoa; Brachiopoda; Lingulata; Lingulida; Lingulidae
Description: uncharacterized LOC106180287
Source: RNAcentral